UGAUUUGCAGAGCGAUAUUAGAUUUGAAACAUGGAGAAACUUUCAAUCGUUAUUAAUUGCUUUUAACCCUUUUGUCUUUUCUUCUUUUUAAGGUUGUAAUCUUAAAAUUUUCAACAACCAAGAAUUUGCGGCCUUGCUGGCUCAGUCGGUCAACCAGGGUUUUGAGGCUGUUUACCAGCUAACCAGGAUGUGCACCAUACGCAUGAGCUUUGUUAAAGGCUGGGGAGCUGAGUACAGGCGGCAGACUGUCACAAGCACUCCUUGUUGGAUAGAGCUUCAUUUAAACGGUCCACUGCAGUGGCUGGACAAAGUUCUAACCCAGAUGGGUUCUCCGUCUGCACGAUGUUCCAGCAUGUCAUAAAUGACUCAAGAAAAAAAAAACUCAGCCUAUUACAAAGAUGAUUAAAUUCUAAACAUACAACUCUA
Long non-coding RNA from Cynoglossus semilaevis (tongue sole), 426 nucleotides. RefSeq lists it as uncharacterized. The transcript has 2 exons. The record is from RefSeq and is a predicted model, not a curated record. Lineage: Eukaryota; Metazoa; Chordata; Actinopteri; Pleuronectiformes; Cynoglossidae.